UUGGAAUGUGGCUCUUCGGAGUGUUAUAGCCUUCGGUGCCAUGCUGCCUCCCGGGACUGAGGACCGCGCUUCGGCUAGGAUGCUGGCGUAAUGAUUGUAAGCGACCCGUCUUGAAACACG
RNAcentral lists this ribosomal RNA (120 nucleotides) under uncultured fungus. RNAcentral's name for it is "partial 28S ribosomal RNA". Lineage: Eukaryota; Fungi. The record is from RNAcentral.